This 865-nucleotide ribosomal RNA is filed under the name uncultured bacterium. Its description in RNAcentral is "bacterial SSU rRNA". It matches the Rfam family "Bacterial small subunit ribosomal RNA", at positions 59 to 886 of the family's 1533-position model. The record is from RNAcentral.
CAGUCGAACGAGUUCUCGUUGAUGAUCGGUGCUUGCACCGAGAUUCAACAUGGAACGAGUGGCGGACGGGUGAGUAACACGUGGGUAACCUGCCCUUAAGUGGGGGAUAACAUUUGGAAACAGAUGCUAAUACCGCAUAGAUCCAAGAACCGCAUGGUUCUUGGCUGAAAGAUGGCGUAAGCUAUCGCUUUUGGAUGGACCCGCGGCGUAUUAGCUAGUUGGUGAGGUAAUGGCUCACCAAGGCGAUGAUACGUAGCCGAACUGAGAGGUUGAUCGGCCACAUUGGGACUGAGACACGGCCCAAACUCCUACGGGAGGCAGCAGUAGGGAAUCUUCCACAAUGGACGCAAGUCUGAUGGAGCAACGCCGCGUGAGUGAAGAAGGCUUUCGGGUCGUAAAACUCUGUUGUUGGAGAAGAAUGGUCGGCAGAGUAACUGUUGCCGGCGUGACGGUAUCCAACCAGAAAGCCACGGCUAACUACGUGCCAGCAGCCGCGGUAAUACGUAGGUGGCAAGCGUUAUCCGGAUUUAUUGGGCGUAAAGCGAGCGCAGGCGGUUUUUUAAGUCUGAUGUGAAAGCCCUCGGCUUAACCGAGGAAGCGCAUCGGAAACUGGGAAACUUGAGUGCAGAAGAGGACAGUGGAACUCCAUGUGUAGCGGUGAAAUGCGUAGAUAUAUGGAAGAACACCAGUGGCGAAGGCGGCUGUCUGGUCUGUAACUGACGCUGAGGCUCGAAAGCAUGGGUAGCGAACAGGAUUAGAUACCCUGGUAGUCCAUGCCGUAAACGAUGAAUGCUAGGUGUUUGGAGGGUUUCCGCCCUUCAGUGCCGCAGCUAACGCAUUAAGCAUUCCGCCUGGGGAGUACGAC